Molecule: ribosomal RNA, 263 nt
Filed under: uncultured bacterium
Lineage: Bacteria
Description: partial 16S ribosomal RNA
Rfam family: Bacterial small subunit ribosomal RNA
Source: RNAcentral
AGAGUUUGAUCCUGGCUCAGGACGAACGCUGGCGGCGUGCCUAACACAUGCAAGUCGAGCGGAGACAGUGAGUAGCUUGCUAUGAGCUGUUUUAGCGGCGGACGGGUGAGAACGCGUGAGCAACCUUUCCCAGACAGGGGAAUAACACACCGAAAGGUGUACUAAUACCGCAUAAGACCACGGGAUCACAUGGUUCUGGGGGUAAAAAGAUUUAUCGGUUUGGGGUGGCUCGCGUCCGAUUAGGUAGUUGGUGAGGUAACCGG